Molecule: non-coding RNA, 1486 nt
Organism: Rhopilema esculentum
Lineage: Eukaryota; Metazoa; Cnidaria; Scyphozoa; Rhizostomeae; Rhizostomatidae
Source: RefSeq, a predicted model, not a curated record
ACCCAAUAAUCUGAAAAAAUAUUAUGAAAUAUCACUAUGCAAGCAUAUCAGUUAAAUUUGCGUUAAGUUACGAACUGGCUACUUAUGUCUUUGCCUUAGCUUGAGUUACAAUGGUUUAAACUGGAUCAGUACAAGUAGUUAGAUGUAGCCGGGUCUAAACAGCUUUAACGACCGUGUCUUCAACUCCAAUCUAAAUUUGGACAUUGUAUCUAAUAGGGUAACGUCUGUGCCAUAACACAGCCAACUUCUAACUGAUUAGCUUAAUUUGACAAAAAAUGUAGAACUCGCAUCACAAUUGAUAGUAUACUACAUAUACAACGUUGAUACACUUAUGCAAUGAUGUCAAUACAAGCUUUUGCUUGAAAAAUGCAAGAAUGUUUGAUAAUAACAUCCCAUACUUCUCCAAAAUCUGUGCCAGAUGAAAGGUUUACUGGAACCAUAACAUCUGCAGUGAUACAUUGAAGAGAUCUGUCUAUUGCAGAGAGUGAGAAACUUUAUAUCCAGCAGCUUUCGUACAUACCAAAUCGUAUGCAAAAAUAUAGAGACUGUCUUCUAAAAAGCUUUAACAAAAAUAAAUGCUGCCACCAAACUUUAUAACGUACAGAGAGCAGGGGAAUAACUGCAAGUAGCUCAAAGAUCAGUCCCUUUGUAGGAAGUCUUCGGGUCUUCGGUAUUCGUUUACUUUCCUUAGAAAAUGAAUCCUCGCAAAACUUGAUGUGUGUUUCAAAUAUCAAAAAAUGAAUAAAACAGUCUUUGCAAAGAGGAUUACAAAGUAUUUGUGUUCAGGGAAUAUGAAGCAUUGAAUCAUGUCUCAAUAACACAGAUAUUUCUUGCUUCUUUAUUCGAUAGGUUUAUUUACUGUAGACAACAAAGAAAUAAGGUACCAACAACAUACGCACAGUACACUUCUGAACCAUAAAGGAUGGUUAUAUUACAAAAUUGCUUUAGUGUAUUAAUCAAUAUCUAUAUGGAAUAAUCUUAAACUGGAGAUAUUGUAAACACAAAGUCUAUCCAGUCUAUGAUUCUUAAUGUUGGAUUUCUUCCACGUCUGAUUUGACCCACAUAUACCCAAAUAAAUGUGUUGCAUAUGUCAAAUCACAUUAAUCGGCAUCGUGGUACUCCUUACUAAUGCACAACAAUGCACCUUAUUGUGCACCUGUGCAUUAUGGGUAUCUAUUGCCACAAGCACCCGCAGGCACCCGCAGGCACCCGCAGGCACCCGCAGGGUAGUCAAGGGGGGCUCUAAUGUGUUGGAAAACGCUCGUUAUGAAGUAUCAAGAAUUGAAAUACGACUAAAAAAUGUGAAAAGACUGCACUGAGGUGGUUGAAACCUAGUGAAAAUAAAACCGUGCAAUGCUUAAUUGUUCAUGAGACAAUACAAUUUGAAGAUUUCAGGAACUAGAAACUAAUUCCUUACAAUUAAAUUAAGGAUAUUGCUUACUGAAACUCAUUAUAGCAUGAUAAUUAUGUACCUGCUUAAUUCAUA